This 597-nucleotide long non-coding RNA is filed under the name Theobroma cacao (cacao). RNAcentral's name for it is "long non-coding RNA (TCAC_LNC001528)". The record is from RNAcentral. Lineage: Eukaryota; Viridiplantae; Streptophyta; Magnoliopsida; Malvales; Malvaceae.
GACAUUAGCAACAGCUACAAGAAGACCUAGCUCCUCGUAUACAUGGGGGACAACCAAGGAGCCUCGGCUAAGAUCACUCACAUUCACACUCUCUCCCUCUAUCUCUCUUAAGUCUUAUCCAUUAUUCUAUCUACUUCUUCAAGAAACUGGCAUGAUCAUCCCCAGGGUAUCUCAUCCUUCCAAAUCCCACCUCAGGAUAGUAUUCUUUCUCAAUUCAACUAACUUCUCUUCUGUUCAUACAGAAAACAGAUUGCGUUGAAUAACUCCUGACCUGGUGCCUCUCAUAAUGUAACACUAAUUCAUCUCUAAUACAUAGUAAAAUCAAGUUCUCCUGAGUUAAUUUCACUCCGACCUAGGACUAUGUAGUAAUUUGAGUACUAGCAUGUGAUCAACUUGCUCAAGUAAGCAAAAGUAGAUCAUUAUUUUAUGCUAUGCCUAGGACUUAUUAGGAUCACCUUAUCAGGUUUCCUAAUCUUGAUUAAAGUUUUUGGUUCUACGUUAAAAAUGUGUAACACAAGGAAGAAAGAUGCACGCUUUGACCCGAAGGCUGGAUUGAAUAUGUCUAGUGGCAAAUUUCCAGCUCCUACUCUUGUUGAC